Molecule: long non-coding RNA, 889 nt
Organism: Triplophysa rosa
Lineage: Eukaryota; Metazoa; Chordata; Actinopteri; Cypriniformes; Nemacheilidae
Exons: 3
Source: RefSeq, a predicted model, not a curated record
UGUCAGUUACUGCUCAUUCCAGAACAUCUAAAGUUGUGUUGAUUCUGUCUGAUCGUCACACAUGUAAGGAUGAAGGGUGUAAUCCUGUGGUCUCAUUCUGGAAGUAACAUUGUUGCAGAUGGGUAACAUUGCAGAAAGAUUGAAGGUGACCCCCGGAAAGCAAUCGCGGAUCUGCCAGAUUUGGGUUGACAGCAUUUGUAAAGGAGGAAGCAGUCUUGGAUUUCCUGGCCCACCCUACACCCACCUGUCAGAAACCGCCGUCUACCUGAAGACACCAGAGUUUCACUCAACACCCACUGACUGAAACUGAAAGCAUUCACCUGAACCUGCUCGCAGCUAACAGACACUUUCAUUCAACAAGAUCUGCCGUAAAUCUGUGACAGGAUCAUAUACGGCGGGAGUCGCACGCCAUGAUGUAGAUCACAGAUCUUCAUCAGAGAACAGCGUGAGCUUUAAGCAUGUCUGGUCCUGUCAAGCUUACCGUGUUUUCGUCAUCGAUGUGUCGUCACGUCAAGGGAAAAAGACAAAUGACACCAGUAUAAUUUACACAAUUACAAUUUACAAUGAGGUUGUUCAGUAUUUGUUAACAUGAAUUAAAAGUGAGCAUUACAGUUUUGAGCAUGUCCUAAUCUUUCUCAAUAUUAGUUCAAUUGAUCGUGUUAGUUGAUUGGGCAUUAACUAAUGUUCACAAUUUUUGAUUUUAAAAUGUAUUAAUAAAUGCUGAAAUUAACAUGAACUAAUAUGAAUAAUUACUGCAAAAAUAUUGUUUUGUUAGUUUAUGUUAACUAAUGCAUUAACUAAGGUUAGCAAAUACAACCGUACUGUAAAGUGUUAGCAGUUAUACUUAAAGAUGUUAAAAUAAUAACAAGUGUUUAUUGUGAUAUACAGU